UGAGUACUAAAAAUCACAAUAAAUCUAAUGCAUUUUAGACAUUAUCAAAAUCGAGCAACAUCAUUAACAUCAUCUAUGACAUCAACCCUAUUAUGAUGUCAUCCAUGACAUCAACCCUAAUCUACUUUAGUUUACAUAUAGCCUCCUUCCCCUCAUUGUAUAACACACAAUGUGAUAUAUCAAUAAAGUCUUCUCUCUCUUCUUCUUCUUCUUCUUCUUCAUCCGUACAUUGAACAAAUCCGAAACCUUGUAAGCAUACAAUUGUAAUCAAUUGAGUUCCACCAACAAUUUCACCACCCUCAUCUCCAAUUCAUAUUCACACUCAUGACCUUGGCGAGAAUUAUUCUGGCACGUGUCAAGGAAUUGAUCUCAAUAAUUUAUAAAAAGGAUAGUCACUUUCAUCCAUAUAAACCCAUGUGAUGGCAAACUUUCCAGCUCAAAAGCUGAUUCUCCAAAACAAUUAUCGACAAAGCAUUUUAAAGCAAACCUUAUCGCUCCAGCUUAAAAAUAGAUUCUUCUCCAGUUCAAAAGCUAAAAAGCAGAUUCUUCUCCAGUUCAAAAGCUAAAAAGCAGAUUAUCUCUCAUCUCUUCGGACUCCAAUUUAUUUCAAGUCCGUUCCCAUAUCUUUUCCGCAUAACAAAGCAAGUUUUUCAACAAGAAGUUUUCCAAAUAAUAGUGAGUGUGAUAGUGUAGUGUGAGUGUGAGUGUGAGUGUGCUAGUGAGUGCGAUUUUGAAGAACUGUACAUGCUUCGUCCAAUUUGCUUCAAAGCUUGUGAAGUUGUGGGGUGAAUUGGAGGGUUAAUUAUGAAAAAUUUUGGAUUAGAUUGUAAAUUGAUUUUAAACUAAAGGUUAAUAAACGGGAAUCUCUAUCAACUUUUGAAUAUAUAAUUAAUUUUUUUUUAGUUUGUUAAAUAAUCUUUGAGUCAUAAAAUAUUACCAGUGAGAAAUUAUUUUUUACUUUUAAACAAUAGAAUAUGAUGCUUUAAUUUGACAUUAAUUAAUAUUAAUUGAUUAAAAUAAUAUGAUAUAGUAUUUUGUAUUAAAUUUUGAAAAAUGCCUUAGAACUUUAAUUUUUGAGUUCUAAAGGUAGUUUUUAUGUGUUGACAGUAGACUCCACCCACAAUGAUGUAAUGUUUUGGUCUUGGUUUGUUUUUAUUUUAUUUAUUUUUUGUUCAUUAUUAUGUCAUUAAUGUUUCAUUAAAAUAUCAAAAUUAAUAGUUUGAAGCAUUAUUGUUAAAUUUUUUAAAAAGUACCUUCAUAAAUAUCAAAUAAUAAAUAAUUUAAAACAAUAUUUUGAAAUUACCGAACAAUCACUCUAAAUCUGACAUGAUCUUUUCGCCUCUGGAAAACAAAUGGAAAAUCAAUAUGCCUACGUUCAUACGGGUGCGAUCAUCUACUAGCUAUUGUUUACGGACAGCGUGCUAUAUGGUAAUCAUUUUUCAUUUUCUACUCCUUUGUUUAU
This is a non-coding RNA of Camellia sinensis, 1462 nucleotides long. NCBI's taxonomy places the organism in Eukaryota, Viridiplantae, Streptophyta, Magnoliopsida, Ericales, Theaceae. The record is from RefSeq and is a predicted model, not a curated record.